This is an RNA transcript of Mercenaria mercenaria, 3287 nucleotides long. RefSeq lists it as uncharacterized. The transcript has 4 exons. Lineage: Eukaryota; Metazoa; Mollusca; Bivalvia; Venerida; Veneridae. The record is from RefSeq and is a predicted model, not a curated record.
AUCUACACAUCUGGUUUAUUACUGUGGUUCUGAAACUGACGCUAUGUAAAUGCGCAAUAAUUCCGAGAAAUAAGAAUGAUUUCUUGUAAUCAAAUACAGCUCAGUUUCUUGGAAAUAUUUUGUGCAUUUAAAAACAGUAAGCCGAUGGAUAUAUUUACAUGUUCGUAUUUCUGUGAAAAUGUUACUUACCUCAUACAGUAUCAAUUUUAUUGCGGUAUUAUUUCCUAUUUUGUUCAGGCUAUAUCGUGUACAAAAAAGUGGUUAGCAUAAAAAUGUGUUUAUAUUGUUCUGAAUCCGAGUUGAACAAGGGUUAGAUUAAAAAAGAAGAAGGGAGUGUAAUUUGAAACUUUUACAAGUGUGAAUAAGUACGACGACCACUUAUUACUUUUCUCCGAUACGAUCGUGAAAAUAUUUUAUAUAAACGAGGGAAAAAAAAAGAAAUGAAAAUAGUUAUGAUCAGUGCUCUUUCCUUUGAAGUAUUCAUCAUAAUGGAGACACUACUGGCAGUUUCGUACAGUUCCGGAACCAAAACUUUUGAUGUAAUUUCAGAUGACGGUUCAUCUCUACCUGUAAAAGAGUACCGGUCUCAUUUAAUUCCUGUCAAACGUUAUGCAAUACAUAAAAUAUGCCGUACAUUUGAGGGAAAGCAAUACCUGUACAGGACCAUGAAGUCAAAAUUUUGCGGAAUUGGAUGUAAGUAAAGACUACUUACAAAGUAACGUUUACUAGCCAUUUUGUUAUGGAUUUAUGUAGAAGCCAGCAUAGGCGUCUGUUGAUAAAAUGGGUGAAGGAAUUAUUCGAUAUCGAUCGCGACGGAUAUAUUUCACAUUACGAGAAAAACUUGUACUUAUUUGACGAAUAAUGUUGGGUACACUAAAAGAAAGGAGGAUGCACGCAAGUUGGAAUCAUCUAUUGAAACCGACAUGUUCUUUGUUGUACAUCAGUGACUGAAUAUUUCAAAGCGUAAAGAUAUGAGAACAUAAACCAAAUUCACAAACUUUACAACGUUUUUGAAUUGCCGAUUUUGGCGUAAGAACAAAGAUAUUUGUGAUAUCAAUCUAGCAGAUACAAGUUUGCACAGUUUAUCCGUGAUAUUUGCAGGGCGUACUUGUAUAACGUUUCGGUUUUAGAGAUAUAAUCACGCCUCUGUGCACAGAAAUAGCAUGCAUAACUUACGACAUGUGAUCAAACGAGAGAAAUUCUAGAGUGGAGACAUGCAUCUAUCAGCGAGUAUGCAGUAAAAUAAUGACUCUUGUGCACGGCUUGUUGCUGGUCAUAUCAGUGAGUGCCUAUGGAGUAUAUCUAGCUUGUAAAAUGUUUACUUGAACAUGUAUUAUAAUAUUGCAGAAACUGACUCUCAGGUGAAUGAUAAAUUAUAUAUUUUUCAGUAAUUAAAGGUUGCCAGUCAAAAGUCAAAACUUUUCCCCGAAUGCAGAAGGACUACUGAGGGCCAGUACGUUUGAAUGUGUAUGUUGGCAUAUUUCUGCCAACCACAUAAUCACUUAUUUAUAUAGAGUAUUUUUCGUAUCAGAUAUUUCGUAAACAAAAGCACCAGAAAAUAUCGGCAGAAAUUCAAAAUGUUCUAUUUUUAGCUAACUGCAAUCAACGAAGCUUUUACAAUAUCCCCUUAUUUAUGUGAAUGUGUGAUGGGAGUAGUGUGCACUGACAGGCAGUUUUGUCCUAUUAAGAUGAUUAUCUUGACAAUACGAAACUUUUCCACUUGCCAGAUAACUGGAUAUGUUACAGUUUUAGUGAAUACUGUUUACAUAAAUAAGUGAAUGUGUAACUGACAGAUAAUACCAACAUAACUUCGUGUUUGACAUCAAAAAUUAAUUAGGAAAAUUUAGUGUUGAAUGAAUGACCGAUCAAUAGCAUAAGAUAUGGCACGGCAUUUUUUAAGGAGACGUAUAUACAUAUAUUAUGUUCGAAAUAUCUGAAACAUUUGAUAACAUAUGUCUCUCCAGCUAUACUGUGCUCCUAACAAAUAAAUUAUUGUGUGAAUGAGGCAAUACAAAUCAAAAAGUUUUCUUUUAUCGAGUCUUUUACAGGACUAUUCGUUUUGUUGAUUUCCUUAAAAACGAUGUAACACCAUUGCUAUUAAACAUUUUAUUCAUAAUUUAAGGAUGGAAACACUUGUUGACAACUGUACAUGUAUAACAAAAAUCUGAUAUUCUUGAAAUACAUCUGAGAAAAGAAUUAUAUUUUAGGAAUUGAUGCGAAAAAUACGACAGAACCUGACCGGCAAAUCCAUGAAUUGUCCCAAAAUAUUUCAUUUAUAUUUAUAUUUUAUUUCUUUAAAUUUUUUUACCUAAAUCUUAUUUCGAUGUAUGAAUUAUGUAACAGUCAGUUUUGUUUUUACACUGGCCGCGUCAAAAUUAGUCUACACUAACUAUUGUCUUUUUCAAUAAUGCACCGUCUUUGUCAGUGUUUUCCCAAGGUUUUCUUUUAUUUACUGUUUUAUUGGAUUUGUAAACGUACUUGUGAAGAAAUUUUACCAUCGUGGCCAAAAGGACUGCCCUUAGGAAAACGUUGUUUAUUUCAAUCAAUUAUAAUCGAUUGAUGUCAAAUGUUCUGGAGACGUCACGUGAGCUUAGAAAGAGAUUAAAAAAAAAAAUAUGUAGUAUCAGUGAUUUUCUGUUGUAAAUAAUGAUUUUAUUAGAUUUACAGAUAUUGUUGUUAUUGCAUUUCAGAUGUCAAUAUUCACUAAUGCCAAUAGCGCGUUACUAUGGUAUAAGGGUACAAGUUUGAACUAUGAAACGUCAGACAAUCUUAUUAACACCGUUGGUAGCUAAAAUGGUUAUUGGUUAUAAUGGUGCUAUGUUAUUGUAACUGCAUAAUACAUGAAUAACAUAAAAUUGUAGAAUCAGUUUAUACUACUCCCGCAAGAUAAUUUAAAGGACAGCAUGUUUAUAUUAUCGUUUGAUUGUUAUGGUUCUCAUGCAUAAUUGAACUCAAAAAGGUUGUCAGUGAUAGACGUUAAGUGCAUACUGUAAUGUUAUACAAAGGUAUUUUCUGUAUUGAAACGUUUUAAUGAAGAAAAAUCAUAAUUAUCAAACAUGUUAACCUUUAAGUUAUCAUGCGGGAUUUAUACUACUCGUACAACCAACAAAUACUUGUACACAACUGAGGCUAUACACCGUGGUCAAUAGCUAAGCUGGUGUUAUAACAUUGUUAACAAUUUUGGAUAAUACGGAAACGACAAUGUUGAUUUUAUUGUUUGUUGUUUAUGGUUGUAAAUAUAAAAUAUGUCGUUGUUGUUUAUAAUACUGAGUUAAUACAAAACAGAC